UUUAAACUCUGUCUUUUUUGGUGGAAAAAUAAAUAGCAUUUCGUUCUCUGGAUGAAUUACUUCGGACCAGGACAAAUCUGACAACCAAAACAAAAUCCUUGUUUAGGUGUAUUAAAAUGCUUUCCUUUCGGACCAAAUCCAAAGAAAAAUACGACCGCCGCAGUUGCUUCUUGUCCGUCGGCGCAAAUUGCCAGUUGGGAAUGAAAUUGCUUUAAUUUCGAUACUUCCAGAUGGGAUUCUCUACACCUUUCACAAGUUUCGAUUAACGCAAUUCGCGUAACACACGUUUCCUAUGAAUUACGAGGAAUAAAAUGAUCAGGAACAAAAAAUAAUAA
Long non-coding RNA from Folsomia candida, 335 nucleotides. RefSeq lists it as uncharacterized. The transcript is spliced from 2 exons. NCBI's taxonomy places the organism in Eukaryota, Metazoa, Arthropoda, Collembola, Entomobryomorpha, Isotomidae. The record is from RefSeq and is a predicted model, not a curated record.